Molecule: ribosomal RNA, 522 nt
Filed under: uncultured bacterium
Lineage: Bacteria
Description: bacterial SSU rRNA
Rfam family: Bacterial small subunit ribosomal RNA
Source: RNAcentral
CCAGAGAACUUAGCAGAGAUGCUUUGGUGCCUUCGGGAACUCUGAGACAGGUGCUGCAUGGCUGUCGUCAGCUCGUGUUGUGAAAUGGUUGGGUUAAGUCCCGCAACGAGCGCAACCCUUAUCCUUUGUUGCCAGCGAUUCGGUCGGGAACUCAAAGGAGACUGCCGGUGAUAAACCGGAGGAAGGUGGGGAUGACGUCAAGUCAUCAUGGCCCUUACGGCCAGGGCUACACACGUGCUACAAUGGCGCAUACAAAGAGAAGCGACCUCGCGAGAGCAAGCGGACCUCAUAAAGUGCGUCGUAGUCCGGAUUGGAGUCUGCAACUCGACUCCAUGAAGUCGGAAUCGCUAGUAAUCGUAGAUCAGAAUGCUACGGUGAAUACGUUCCCGGGCCUUGUACACACCGCCCGUCACACCAUGGGAGUGGGUUGCAAAAGAAGUAGGUAGCUUAACCUUCGGGAGGGCGCUUACCACUUUGUGAUUCAUGACUGGGGUGAAGUCGUAACAAGGUAGGCGUAGAUGA